GACCUGGUGGCGAGACGUAUCGCGCCCGCAGUGUGUAAUCUGUUCAGCUGAACAUCUUGCGGGAGCCCCUGGUUCGAAUCCAGGCCAGGUCA
This is a non-coding RNA of Mycena latifolia, 92 nucleotides long. The record is from the annotation of a GenBank genome assembly. Lineage: Eukaryota; Fungi; Basidiomycota; Agaricomycetes; Agaricales; Mycenaceae.